This is a long non-coding RNA of Myxocyprinus asiaticus (Chinese sucker), 1432 nucleotides long. RefSeq lists it as uncharacterized. The transcript is spliced from 5 exons. NCBI's taxonomy places the organism in Eukaryota, Metazoa, Chordata, Actinopteri, Cypriniformes, Catostomidae. The record is from RefSeq and is a predicted model, not a curated record.
GACACAAGAAACUAAUAUACACUGAAUCACAGUGUGUGUGUGUGUGUUUGUGUGUGUGUGUGUGUGUGUGUGUGUUUGUAAAAGAGAGAUCAGCGGUUCUGUGGUGACCCAGUUUCCUAUAGCUUACAGGUUUCAAACACAGACCCACCCAAAAACCAGCAAACACAAUAGAGUAUUUCUUUUUUUUAUUAUCUAGAGUUAUUGUUAUUGUCUUUUAACUAGGGAUGGGCAUUUUUUCUACUUAAACUCUAAGUAAUUACUUGAGUGCACAUAGAAAAGUACACUGCAUCUCAUAGUUGUUCCAGCGUUUUAUAAUUCAUUAUUAUAGUCUGUUAUAAUGUAAUCUGUUACAAAAAGUACAAAAAAUGUAUAAUCAAAAUGUAAUGCAUCAUAUUUUGUAAGCAAUCUAUCUACAGGAGUCUGCAGUAAGUGUUUAUUUCAUUGUUUUACUUUGUUGUAUAGUAUUCAUUGCUAGAGUUUUGCUGUUUGUUUACUGUGUUGAACUCACGUCGCUUAAAUGUAUGUGGGUGUGUGUGUGCUACAUUGUUUUGACUUGUCCCAGGGUAUUCACUGCUAGAGUUUUUUGUCUAGUGUGUGUAAAACUAUCAUUGUUUUUAGUGUGUCUAUAAACAGUGCUUCAUUUGUUUUAGAGUAUUAUUUAUUGCUAAAGCUGUGAACAAAGCUGACUUCAUUCCAGCCUUCACCACACAGUCCAUCCUCAGCAUCCUUGCACUGACAGAAACAUGGAUAUGUCCAGAGGAUACAGCAGCACCCGCUGCUCACUCCAACAACUUCUCCUUCUCUCACACCCCUCGACAAGGUGGGGGAACAGGUCAGCUGGCAAAUUUUCUCGAGGAGUUGGAUGUCCUGCUGUCCUACUUCCCGGAAGAUGGUAGGCCACUUGUGGUUCUUGGAGAUUUCAACAUACACCAAGACAAGCCCCAAGUCACUGAACUUCAUGAACUUCAUGCUCUUCUGGCCUCGUUUGACUUGGAAGGACUAAGCACUACAGCAACUCACAGAUCGGGCAACCAGCUGGACCUCAUUUUUACAUGCCAGCACGUAUGACACUACCCAGCCCCUGGCUCUCUGAUGUCCUUCGUGAACAUCGGACUGACCUCAGGGCGGCUGAGAGGAGAUGGCAGAAAUCUAAAGAUCCAGCAGAUCUGGAUGUUUGAAAGGAAGAACUCCUCCGGUGUGCGCACUUCUCUAGAGUGUUGAGCACUGUCUCUGCCCCGGACAAAAAGUCAUUGCGCGCUGUGUUGGAGCAUGUUGCUGUAAUGAUUCAGACUGCAAGUGAGUUGGCGUUCGGUCUCUGCGUCGCAGUCCCGUAUUUCUCCCAGAAUCCUCCUCCAGGAGGGGGAAGUACUGCCCUCCAAGUACCUCCUGUUCUACAAAAUACCCUGGAGAAUCAGAACCAAAUACACCAAAC